AACUAUGAAUAGUUCUAAUUGAAUCAAGAAAAAUGAAUAUAAUCAACAAAAAUAUAACUUCCUCCCUCAAAUAUGUUUAAAGUCCUUAUAAUUAAAAAAAUAUAUAUGUUUUUACAUGCAAAUUAAAAAAGUUUCAAUAAAAAACAAUAACAUGAGACAAUAAAAAAAUAAAAAGAAAUUUCAAGAAAAAUGAAGAAUGAAACAUAGGAUAGUGGGAAAAGUGUA
This 225-nucleotide long non-coding RNA is filed under the name Gossypium raimondii (Peruvian cotton). RNAcentral describes it as "long non-coding RNA (GRAI_LNC000978)". The record is from RNAcentral. Lineage: Eukaryota; Viridiplantae; Streptophyta; Magnoliopsida; Malvales; Malvaceae.